UGGGGAAUAUUGGACAAUGGGCGCAAGCCUGAUCCAGCCAUGCCGCGUGAGUGAUGAAGGCCCUAGGGUUGUAAAGCUCUUUCACCGGUGAAGAUAAUGACGGUAACCGGAGAAGAAGCCCCGGCUAACUUCGUGCCAGCAGCCGCGGUAAUACGAAGGGGGCUAGCGUUGUUCGGAUUUUACUGGGGCGUAAAGCGCACGUAGGCGGACUUUUUAAGUCAGGGGUGAAAAUCCCCGGGGCUCAACCCCCGGAACUGCCUUUUGAUACUGGAAGUCUUGAGUAUGGUAGAGGUGAGUGGAAUUCCGAGUGUAGAGGUGAAAUUCGUAGAUAUUCGGAGGAACACCAGUGGCGAAGGCGGCCUCACUGGACCAUUACUGACGCUGAGGUGCGAAAGCGUGGGGAGCAAAACAGGAUUAGAUACCCUGGUAGUCCACGCCCGUAAACGAUGAAUGUUAGCCGUUGGGGAGUUUAACUCUUCGGUGGCGCAGCUAACGAUUAAACAUUCCGCCUGGGGAGUACGGUCGCAAGAUUAAAACUCAAAGGAAUUGAACGGGGUCAUAGCUGUUUCCU
RNAcentral lists this ribosomal RNA (571 nucleotides) under uncultured bacterium. RNAcentral describes it as "partial 16S ribosomal RNA". It matches the Rfam family "Bacterial small subunit ribosomal RNA", at positions 355 to 938 of the family's 1533-position model. The record is from RNAcentral.